CGGAUCUGUAACUGUGUGUUUCAGAUGCUGGAUCAACAGUGUGAGAUCAAGUCAGUGAUUUCAGCUGAUAUGUUUUGUUCUUUUCAGGUCUUUUUGCGGUCUGGGCUUGCUGUCACAUGGCUAUCCAGGAAGCCCUUACCCCAAAAAGCAUCUGCAAGGGACCAAUUACAUCAAGGGGAGUCCUCAAUAAGCUCAUUUUACAGUGUGGAACAAUUUUUUCUCCUUAAUUUGUACAUAAGGCAAUUGUGAGCAGUUAUCAGAGGUGUGUUUGACUUUUUAACUCAACAAUAGUCAUAAAUGAACAUAAAAUCCACCAUAGUAGGCGAUAACAUCAUACCAGUCUGCUUGAUCCUUUUUGGUGGACAUCUCAGCAGCAGUAUUGUACUGUUCUUUUAGUGAGCAAGUCACUGUUUUGACUGACAUCAAGUAAAAUGUAAACCUCUUCCUGACUGUGAUGGAUUGAGCACCUGACAGCCAUACUCAAGUGAAAGUAAAGAUACCGUGUUGGUUAAUUGGUAGAAAUUAAACUCGGGUGCUUGAGUAGAAGUCUUCAAACAUCUAAUGUAUUUUGUGUUCGAGUAUGAAAAAGGGUUUUCUCAAAGUAAUUGUAUUUAUCUAUUGGGUGUAGAACUACAACUAAAUAAUGUCAGUGAAGAUUACGAUGGUCUGGAUUUGAAGAAUUUGAAUCCAAAUGUCAAAAAACAAGGUUUUCACAUCAUAAAGACUGAUGGAAGAUACCUGGUGGAAGAGCAGCAACGUAACUCAAAGUCACCACAUCUAAAUAGUUAAACAUGUCUCUCAAUUAUUAGUUUUAUGUCAGUUAAGCUGCUAUGUAUCAUCAGUUUUGAAUUAUAUCAUGCUAUUUCACAGUACACCAAUCCCCCAUUUUUUCUUAUUUCUAUAUAAUGUGUGUGCAGUAUAAAGUGGAGGUCAGUAGGGGUUUGGUGGUUAGUGUAGCAAGAAGUUUUUAGGUAAUUAGCCCUUAUUUUGUGAAACUUAUUGUCUAAACAUUGAAGAUAAUUUACCUCACAUCUUGCAGGCUCCUGCGAUUGGUAAACAUUUUAUUUAUUUAUUGUUCUUCUCUGCACUUGCUCUUUUCCUUCUUUGAGUUUUUUUUCUCCUGUUGACAUCCAUAUUGUUGAAUCUCUACUCCUCUUUGUUUAUCCUUUGGAAAUAUAUUUUGGCUUUUAAAUGUUGUGCAGUUAAUAUGCUGUUAAAACUAGCAGGUUACCAUGUCUAAAUGACCAACAUUGAAAGCUGUUACAAGAAUCCUAAGCAUUUCUGGAGCACUGCACUUUAUGUCCAGAAGGUGGCCUUAUUGCUAAAGAUUUGUGACUGAGUUUAAAUUUGAUUUUAAUUUCACACACAUUACAAAAUCUCUGAAUACAUACAUUCAAAACCUGUGAGAAUCUGUCGCCUUGAGCCUGUUCUCAUCCACGAUAACAAUGCUAUGACCUGUCCGUAACCUUGGCUUACAUGAAUACGCUUGCCUCCCUGUGUAUUUCUGUUAUUAAAUAUCUGCAAAUAUCUGGAAAAGUACACAAGUCUAUGAUUUUGAUAUGAAGUUGUUACCUCUGCUAAAAAUGUAGUUGCCUGAAAAAGCCAUGUGCUGAUAGUAAGUAAGUUAUGAGAUCCCAAGAACAUAUCUCCACUCUUUAAAACACAUCACCAGGAAAUGGUAAUUUCCUAGUAAUUACUAAUUUCUGCAGCAACCAACAUUUCUUCUGCCAAAAAGUUCUGUGGUAUCCCGCCAAAUAGGUUAAAUACACAAAUUCACUCAAGAAAAAAAAGGUUAGCCAGUUUUGUCCAUAUCUGCACAACAGUGAUGAGCUAUUUCUUACAGUGAAACAUGGCAGCACACAUAAACCCAUGAUUAAAACUACUUUUCAUCCACUGAACACAAUCCUUGAAAAAGUUGUGUUUCCUGAAAUGUACUGCCUGAAGCUCAUCAUAAAUGUCUUUGUCCACAGUAUGUUAUUUAGAAACUGCAGCUGUUUCAGGAAUGUCGUUUUUGUUCACUCCAACAGCUCUGUAGGCAGCAGUGUCUGAUAUUUCCCCCUGACAGUCAGCAGCAUUUGAUUUUAGAGGUCCUUCUCAGGGGUUCAGACUAAAACAUCAAAAUUAAAAAACCUAUAUAAAGAGGUAUAAACAUUUGUCAUAAUUAUCCAACAUUGUAUUACUGCAGUUGAAAAUACGACUAACAGUCAGGGUUUUAAGCAGCACAGAACUAACCCUUGUACCUUUGAGGUAUGCGUAGACAUGGUGUUGAGCAGAUAUAUUUUGUUUCUGCUUCACGAUCUUUUUCAGUGGAAGAACGGUCAUAAUGGCUCAACACUGCUGUGUUUUCGCUUGUCAUAAAGUGUUAGCACAAAGUGUAAAUUCUGUUUAAUUCUAGCAAAUCAUAUCACACAACACCCUUCCUCUGUAGCUUUAACAUUGAAGAUAUUUGGAGAAUAAAACAUCUGAACACUCCGGUGUUCACAUGGAGUGAUAAAAGAGGUGUUAGUAAAUCAAGAAUUGAUAUUUAAAUUAUUUCUCAGAUUUUUUAUAAGAACUGUAUUAAUUUGGAAAUAUACCCCACCCCCCUUGCACCUUUUAAGGCUUUAUGUAUUACAUAUGGGACAUAGUUUGUCAAGCUUACAGCUGCCGUGUCCGUAGAAACUUAAUACUUAAUAACUUAAAAAAUUAAUAAAGUAAAAUUAGGGUUACAGAAGUCAUUUCAUGGUUUCAGUUCAAAAUCAGUAGGGUAUUGACUGAGAACUUUUCAAAUUUGGUUUUUUUUUUUGGAAAAAUUCUGUGAUUUGGCUAAGAGGCGUUCAGGGUGUAAAUUUUGUAACAAGGAUUACUUAUUUAUCUUAUUUUUAAAAGAGUGGAAACUGGGACUAACUAACCUGAAAAUUCAGCCAGAGGGCCUGAACAAUCAAAAAGUAAAAUGUGUAUUCCUGGGGUCCACAACAUGAUGGCUGGAGGAAGGUGGAUGGAAUACAUACAUUUUUUAAUUUUAAUUUUGAAAUAUAUAAUAUCAAGCAUUCUUUAAAAGUGUUGUAGUUCUUGAUGUUGCAAAGUAUCAGCAGACAGCUACCUGACAGUUAAAAAACUAUUGUUUAAAGUGAAUUGGAGGAAUUUGAUAACUAUCACAUUUGAGGAAAUUAAGAAUGUAAAAGUAGAAAACUUGAACAGGCUCCUUUUUACUUGAUUUCUUCUUAUACAGUACAGAAAAAUAAAAUCUUCAAACAACCAUGACCCAAGAGUUGGUCACUUCAGUUCCUAAAUCAAAAAAGACAGAUCUUUUCCCCAUAACUACGGGGUCCAAUGAGACAGAGAUAUUUGCUCUAUUACUAGCUAAAAAACAUAAGAUGGAAGUGGAUUCAAUCACUAUAGUCAGGUUUCUUGUCAAAAAGGCUCAUCAUGAACAACAUCACGGCAUGCCAGUGAUGGACAAUCUGAAUCAUUUGGAUCUACAAGAAAUCUGGUUUUGGUGAGUAUUUCUUUUGGGCCAUAAAACUCUUUGUAAGUAACGUAAUGGUUUCAUUAAAUUAUUGGGUAGUACAUCUCCUAAAUGUGUUACGUCUGCAGGCAUUAUAGGCAAAUACCUCCCCAUACCUCUUGGAUCAUUGCUUUUGUUUGACUGUAUUAAAUAUAGUGCUUUAAAAGGUAUUUCUUCUUUUCGUUAAGAGCUGAUCCUAACUCUGCUAACAGAUCACCACACCACACGAUAAGUAUUUUUUAAUUCAAACCUAUUUUUAUAGCCAUUAAAUUAAUCAAAAGCAAACUUACAUUCCUGACAUUUGCAUAACAUUUUCACAAGAAAUAAAGCCAUAAUUCUUUAUUACUCAGGGUUAACACAAGAAGCCCUAUGUUGGUCAACAUGUUAAAUAUGUAUCUUCUCUAUUUGUCCAGUUUUCCUUGUAAAGACAGAACGACUUAAAAAACAAUACUUCCAAGAAGAUGUUACAACAUUACUAUGGGUUUGUUUGAAGAAGGCUUGUCUUAAAUCUUAAAGAUAUUUGAUUAUGAUCAAGGUUGAAAAUUUUCUUUUACAGUCAUCAAUACAUUUUAUCUUGGUAAAAGUUACAUUUGGGAAAGAUUUAAGUCCUAUAUAGAUGUAAAAUGCAGUUUUGUAACUACUGUCCUGAAACUGCUUUGCAUUUCUUUUGGUAUUGCCCGAUUGUAAAAAUGUUCUUGGGAAAAAUGAUGUGACUAUAGAGACAAUAAAACUAGUAAACCUUUUUGUUUUAUUCUUUCAAAUUGAAAACAUCAAAGAAUAUAAUACAUUAAUCAUUAUAAAUGGGUAGGACUAACAUUACAGCCCAGUAACAAGCAUGUAUUUAUCUCCUCACCUUGUUAAAUCCACUUCUGUCUUGAUAGAGUCUUGUUGAAUUUCUUCAUUAAUAUCAUCUGACCUUGUAACAAAUUCACAUUCAUUAUGUCUUGACUGGUAAGAUUUCAUUAAAAUUUCCCUUUAAGAUCUUGAAUUUUUUCAAUGCCUUUCAAUUUUUUAAUCCUUUUGAUUUGAUUAAUAAGUUAUUUGGCUAUAAAGAUGGAAAACCUGCAAAUUUAAUGUUUUAUUGAUUCCCCAAGGUUUCCAUAAUUACCAGUAACUGGUGUUCCAUAAAUAACAGUGAGUGUCCAAUUACCAGAACCAUAUUUCUGUGUGUAUACACCCUGUAGGUUCAACUUUAUCAAGAUUUCAUUGUGAUCUGCCAAAAUAGCUAGUUUUAUCAAAACAACUGUGACCAGAAUAGCAAGAUCAUUAGAGGUGAGCCAGAAAUCAAUUCACGAUCGUAAGGAGAGAUUGUGAUUUUACUUUAUUUGCAUAUUUUGAUGAGGGGUCAUGUUUUUUACAGGGCAAUAAUCUGUAUCAUCAUUACAAAACAGAAUAAUAACCACCUUCUUAGCUGUUGACAAGAGAUCAUUAGAACAAAGGUGGGAGAGUGCUGGUUCAACAUGUACAAUUAAUCAAUUAAUAUCAACUAUGCAAACAAUCCAUCUCCUAGACAAGUCUUUUUUUCUGUCCUCAUCUAUGCUGUCAAAUGGCGACCCCUGCUGAUCUUACACUGUCAUUGAAAAACCACAUCUCAGUACCCAAUGGAUUUUUUUCAAAAGGAUUCACCAGAUGAACUUGCAUUGGUUUCUUGAAAGAAAACCAGUACCUCAACUUCGCAGUACAAAACAGAGCUUUCCUCCAGAGUAGUUCUCUGAUAUUCUUGGCAUAUAUUCUCAGAAAGAGACACAAGGAUGGGUAAAAGAAAAACAAACGCUUGUAUGACACAGUGUUGACUUUUCCCAUUAUAUAGGGUUGAUG
This 5305-nucleotide long non-coding RNA is filed under the name Xyrichtys novacula (pearly razorfish). The stretch from base 84 to 154 matches the Rfam family "mir-129 microRNA precursor family". Lineage: Eukaryota; Metazoa; Chordata; Actinopteri; Labriformes; Labridae. The record is from RNAcentral.